This is a non-coding RNA of Vicia faba (fava bean), 192 nucleotides long. The record is from the annotation of a GenBank genome assembly. Lineage: Eukaryota; Viridiplantae; Streptophyta; Magnoliopsida; Fabales; Fabaceae.
AUGCUAUGCAACGAUAUAAACAGCCACAACUCGACAACGCAACAGCGACAACAACAUAACAACAAUCGACAUAACAACAAUUCACAUCGUUUAACAUUGGCCAAAGGCCUACAAUACAACAUAUCAAUGAGAUCAACAACUUUUCAUGGAAACGACAUAUUCACCACAUAUCUGCUAGGAUUCACACCAUAA